Metopolophium dirhodum (rose-grain aphid) is the source of this 920-nucleotide long non-coding RNA. RefSeq lists it as uncharacterized. The record is from RefSeq and is a predicted model, not a curated record. The transcript has 5 exons. Lineage: Eukaryota; Metazoa; Arthropoda; Insecta; Hemiptera; Aphididae.
AGAACCACUGUGCUAACCAGUAAAUAUAAUAUACUAUUAUAGUUAAUAGGCUGUAUUGCUACAAUGUAACAUGUACCUUAGGGCCACGUAUAACUCAUAAAUAUUCUAAUCUUAUGUUAUUGAUGUAAUGUAAAAUUAAAUUUUGAACAGAGUUCCUUUAAUAUAUUUUUGAUGUUAAAAAGUUUCAUUAGGUACCUACCGAUUAGUGCUUAGCCUUUGAAUAAUGAGUUACCAAAUUUGUAUUCAUUAUUUUGCACAUAGUAGGUGCAUACACAAUGUGAUUGAGUGACAAUUUGAAUUUCAAAAUGUUCACUUUCAUUUUCUAGUGUAUCUACAAUAUGGCUAAACAAUAUAAAUAAUAUUUAUCACUGAUAAAACAGCGAGACCAAUAACAGGAUAACAGAGUAAAUUCGUCACAAAAAAGCAGGAAUAAAAUCAGUAUAUCAACUAGUAUUGUAGUUACGAAAAUUAACAUCGAUCUACUUACUCAAAUUAUUAAUUUUGAUGGAGAUGAAGUCGAUAAUGAAACUGAUUUUUCACCGGAAGCGAAUAUGACCUUAGUUCAAUUUCAAGGUACCUAACUAGGUAUUUGUUGUGUUCGCGCAAUUCGCUUCCAUAACUAAGAUGGCAUGGGACGUUGUACAAAAACAAAAUGUUAAAAGCAACACUAUGUUUACGGUGUCUGACAGUUGAAGUAAAUAUAGAAUUUUUUAAUUAGUAAGCAAGUACGAUUUCUUCCAUGGCUCCUGAAUUUUUAUUAAAAAAAAAGUGCGUGUUGCACGAAAACAAAUAAGAUUAUACUAAAUUUGCACCAAUAGUUUUAUUUACAAAUAUAUUUAUUUUAUUAUAAUCUAUCCGUAUGAAGUAUGAAUGUAUAAUCAAACCCCGUGAAAUGUUUACCAAAUUGUCCAAAUUAUGUG